AACAUAAUACAUGCAAGUCGAGCGACAGAUAAGGAGCUUGCUCCUUUGACGUGAGCGGCGGACGGGUGAGUAACACGUGGGUAACCUACCUAUAAGACUGGAAUAACUCCGGGAAACCGGGGCUAAUGCCGGAUAACAUUUAGAACCGCAUGGUUCUAAAGUGAAAGAUGGUUUUGCUAUCACUUAUAGAUGGACCCGCGCCGUAUUAGCUAGUUGGUAAGGUAACGGCUUACCAAGGCAACGAUACGUAGCCGACCUGAGAGGGUGAUCGGCCACACUGGAACUGAGACACGGUCCAGACUCCUACGGGAGGCAGCAGUAGGGAAUCUUCCGCAAUGGGCGAAAGCCUGACGGAGCAACGCCGCGUGAGUGAUGAAGGUCUUCGGAUCGUAAAACUCUGUUAUUAGGGAAGAACAAAUGUGUAAGUAACUGUGCACGUCUUGACGGUACCUAAUCAGAAAGCCACGGCUAACUACGUGCCAGCAGCCGCGGUAAUACGUAGGUGGCAAGCGUUAUCCGGAAUUAUUGGGCGUAAAGCGCGCGUAGGCGGUUUCUUAAGUCUGAUGUGAAAGCCCACGGCUCAGCGUGGAGGGUCAUGGGAAACUGGGAAACUGAGUGCAGAAGAGGAAAGUGGAAUCCAUGUGUAGCGGUGAAAUGCGCAGAGAUAUGGAGGAACACAGUGGCGAAGGCGACUUUCUGGUCUGUACCUGACGCUGAUGUGCGAAAGCCUGGGGAUCUACAGGAUUAGAUCCCCUGGUAGUCACGCCGUAAACGAUGAUUCUAGUGUAGGGGGGUUCCGCCCCUAUUCUCAGCUACGCAUUAGCACUCGCCUGGAAUCAAGCAGGGUGAACUAAGAAUACGGGACCGCACCGGUACAUUGUUAUUCACACCGGACAUCAACUGAC
This 905-nucleotide ribosomal RNA is filed under the name Staphylococcus cohnii. RNAcentral describes it as "bacterial SSU rRNA". It matches the Rfam family "Bacterial small subunit ribosomal RNA", at positions 45 to 873 of the family's 1533-position model. Lineage: Bacteria; Bacillati; Bacillota; Bacilli; Caryophanales; Staphylococcaceae. The record is from RNAcentral.